Molecule: ribosomal RNA, 432 nt
Filed under: uncultured bacterium
Lineage: Bacteria
Description: partial 16S ribosomal RNA
Rfam family: Bacterial small subunit ribosomal RNA
Source: RNAcentral
ACGAACGCUGGCGGCAUGCCUAACACAUGCCAGUCGAACGAGACCUUCGGGUCUAGUGGCGCACGGGUGCGUCACGCGUGGGAACCUGCCCUUAGGUUCGGAAUAACUCCCCGAAAGGGGUGCUAAUACCGGAUAAUGUCUUCGGACCAAAGAUUUAUCGCCUUUGGAUGGGCCCGCGUUGGAUUAGCUAGUUGGUAGGGUAAAAGCCUACCAAGGCGACGAUCCAUAGCUGGUCUGAGAGGAUGAUCAGCCACACUGGGACUGAGACACGGCCCAGACUCCUACGGGAGGCAGCAGUGGGGAAUAUUGGACAAUGGGCGAAAGCCUGAUCCAGCAAUGCCGCGUGAGUGAUGAAGGCCUUAGGGUUGUAAAGCUCUUUUACCCGGGAUGAUAAUGACAGUACCGGGAGAAUAAGCUCCGGCUAACUCCGUG